Molecule: ribosomal RNA, 550 nt
Filed under: uncultured Wolbachia sp.
Lineage: Bacteria; Pseudomonadati; Pseudomonadota; Alphaproteobacteria; Rickettsiales; Anaplasmataceae
Description: bacterial SSU rRNA
Rfam family: Bacterial small subunit ribosomal RNA
Source: RNAcentral
GCAAGAUUAAACUCAAAGGAAUUGACGGGGACCCGCACAAGCGGUGGAGCAUGUGGUUUAAUUCGAUGCAACGCGAAAAACCUUACCACUCCUUGACAUGGAAAUUAUACCUAUUCGAAGGGAUAGGGUCGGUUCGGCCGGGUUUCACACAGGUGUUGCAUGGCUGUCGUCAGCUCGUGUCGUGAGAUGUAGGGUUAAGUCCCGCAACGAGCGCAACCCUCAUCCUUAGUUACCAUCAGGUAAUGCUGGGGACUUUAAGGAAACUGCCAGUGAUAAACUGGAGGAAGGUGGGGAUGAUGUCAAGUCAUCAUGGCCCUUAUGGAGUGGGCUACACACGUGCUACAAUGGUGGCUACAAUGGGCUGCAAAGUCGUGAGGCUAAGCCAAUCCCUUAAAAGCCAUCUCAGUUCGGAUUGUACUCUGCAACUCGAGUGCAUGAAGUUGGAAUCGCUAGUAAUCGUGGAUCAGCACGCCACGGUGAAUACGUUCUCGGGUCUUGUACACACUGCCCGUCACGCCAUGGGAAUUGGUUUCACUCGAAGCUAACGACC